This is a long non-coding RNA of Pleuronectes platessa (European plaice), 378 nucleotides long. RefSeq lists it as uncharacterized. The record is from RefSeq and is a predicted model, not a curated record. The transcript has 3 exons. Lineage: Eukaryota; Metazoa; Chordata; Actinopteri; Pleuronectiformes; Pleuronectidae.
AGCCUCUUUGGCCAGUUGUCCUAUACUCUGGUUUGUCUGUGGAUCUCAUAAUAGGAUUAUCUGUUCUAAGUACACAAGAGCGACUGAAGGAGAAAAUGAACCAAACACAGACGGGAGCUUCUUCAAAUAUACCUGUGUUUCUAGCAACAAUGGAAAUCCUGUGUUCACUGUGUGGAGGCUCUGAUGUAAUCUGAGGGAGACGUUUGGAUUAUUGUUGUGAAGAUGGCAGCUAAUGAAGUGAUGCCUUCUGAGCGGUUGCAGCCUGAUGCAGAGCCCAGCAGCUACCGCCUGCGCACCUUGCUGGGCAGUGAGGACAGUGAAGAAGAAACCAGUCAAGAGGAGCCGCCAAUCACGAGCUGGAACGAGCUGUCCAUCAUA